GAUGAACGCUGGCGGCGUGCCUAAUACAUGCAAGUCGAGCGAACAGACGAGGAGCUUGCUCCUCUGACGUUAGCGGCGGACGGGUGAGUAAAACGUGGAUAACCUACCUAUAAGACUGGGAUAACUUCGGGAAACCGGAGCUAAUACCGGAUAAUAUAUUGAACCGCAUGGUUCAAUAGUGAAAGACGGUUUUGCUGUCACUUAUAGAUGGAUCCGCGCCGCAUUAGCUAGUUGGUAAGGUAACGGCUUACCAAGGCGACGAUGCGUAGCCGACCUGAGAGGGUGAUCGGCCACACUGGAACUGAGACACGGUCCAGACUCCUACGGGAGGCAGCAGUAGGGAAUCUUCCGAAAUGGGCGAAAGCCUGACGGAGCAACGCCGCGUGAGUGAUGAAGGUCUUCGGAUCGUAAAACUCUGUUAUUAGGGAAGAACAAAUGUGUAAGUAACUAUGCACGUCUUGACGGUACCUAAUCAGAAAGCCACGGCUAACUACGUG
This 497-nucleotide ribosomal RNA is filed under the name uncultured bacterium. RNAcentral describes it as "partial 16S ribosomal RNA". It matches the Rfam family "Bacterial small subunit ribosomal RNA", at positions 28 to 507 of the family's 1533-position model. The record is from RNAcentral.